This 301-nucleotide ribosomal RNA is filed under the name uncultured bacterium. RNAcentral describes it as "partial 16S ribosomal RNA". It matches the Rfam family "Bacterial small subunit ribosomal RNA", at positions 509 to 808 of the family's 1533-position model. The record is from RNAcentral.
CAGCAGCCGCGGGAAUACGUAGGUGGCAAGCGUUGUCCGGAAUUAUUGGGCGUAAAGGGCUCGCAGGCGGUUUCUUAAGUCUGAUGUGAAAGCCCCCGGCUCAACCGGGGAGGGUCAUUGGAAACUGGGAAACUUGAGUGCAGAAGAGGAGAGUGGAAUUCCACGUGUAGCGGUGAAAUGCGUAGAGAUGUGGAGGAACACCAGUGGCGAAGGCGACUCUCUGGUCUGUAACUGACGCUGAGGAGCGAAAGCGUGGGGAGCGAACAGGAUUAGAUACCCCGUAGUCCCUGUCUCUUAUACC